Molecule: ribosomal RNA, 468 nt
Filed under: uncultured bacterium
Lineage: Bacteria
Description: partial 16S ribosomal RNA
Rfam family: Bacterial small subunit ribosomal RNA
Source: RNAcentral
GACGAACGCUGGCGGCGUGCUUAACACAUGCAAGUCGAACGGAAAGGCCCUGCUUUUGUGGGGUGCUCGAGUGGCGAACGGGUGAGUAACACGUGAGUAACCUGCCCUUGACUUUGGGAUAACUUCAGGAAACUGGGGCUGAUACCGGAUAGGAGCUCCUGCUGCAUGGUGGGGGUUGGAAAGUUUCGGCGGUUGGGGAUGGACUCGCGGCUUAUCAGCUUGUUGGUGGGGUAGUGGCUUACCAAGGCUUUGACGGGUAGCCGGCCUGAGAGGGUGACCGGCCACAUUGGGACUGAGAUACGGCCCAGACUCCUACGGGAGGCAGCAGUGGGAAAUAUUGCACAAUGGGCGGAAGCCUGAUGCAGCAACGCCGCGUGCGGGAUGACGGCCUUCGGGUUGUAAACCGCUUUCGCCUGUGACGAAGCGUGAGUGACGGUAAUGGGUAAAGAAGCACCGGCUAACUACGUG